AUGUUCGCGAGCAGGCCGGCGGUGCACCCGGUGGAGGCGCCGCCGCCGACGGAUCCGGUGGAGCAGCCCACGGGGGUGCUCAUGAAGGACCUGCCCGGGAUGCCCGGCACGGCCGGCGGCCUCGCGCUCCGCCUCGCGCAGUUCGCCUUCGCCGGAGUCGCCCUCGGCGUCAUGGCCUCCACCAACGACUUCCCCUCCGUCAGCGCCUUCUGCUAUCUUGUUGCAGCAACCAUAUUGCAAUGCCUAUGGAGCUUCUCGCUUGGGAUUGUUGAUAUCUAUGCAUUGCUUGUUAAGCGUUGUCUAAGGAACCGCCGCGCUGUUUGCCUGUUCGCAAUUGGAGAUGGGAUCACGGCAGCACUCAUCUUCGGCGCAGCAUGCUCGUCGGCAGGCAUCACGGUCCUGAUCGACAACGACCUGAACAUCUGUGCCGAGAACCACUGUGGCAGCUUCGAGACCGCGACGGCGAUGGCAUUCAUGAGCUGGUUUGCUCUCACGCCCUCCUUCCUGCUGAACUUCUGGUCGAUGGCUUCCCGAUGA
This 537-nucleotide ribosomal RNA is filed under the name Triticum aestivum (bread wheat). RNAcentral describes it as "partial small subunit ribosomal RNA". Lineage: Eukaryota; Viridiplantae; Streptophyta; Magnoliopsida; Poales; Poaceae. The record is from RNAcentral.